RNAcentral lists this ribosomal RNA (90 nucleotides) under uncultured bacterium. Its description in RNAcentral is "partial 16S ribosomal RNA". The record is from RNAcentral.
CCCGUCACAUCACGAAAUGGGUUGUACUAGAAGUCUGCGCGCUGACCCGCAAGGGAGGCAGCGGCCCAAGGUAUGACUCAUGAUUGGGUG